Long non-coding RNA from Suricata suricatta (meerkat), 602 nucleotides. RefSeq lists it as uncharacterized. The record is from RefSeq and is a predicted model, not a curated record. NCBI's taxonomy places the organism in Eukaryota, Metazoa, Chordata, Mammalia, Carnivora, Herpestidae. The transcript has 2 exons.
UCCAGAGAGGCCUGGGUCACGGCAGCUAUGCCCUCACACAUCCUCUAGGCUUUAAUAGGAAUGACGAGGGAGCCUUCAUUCUUGCUGCGAACCUGGCAAUCCCAGGCAUCCUCUGGGCCCCCUGCCGUGGCCUCGACAGCGUACUCAUCUUUGGAGUCAGGAAAGUUUCCAAAAUACUUUUCCUGAAAAGGAGGCACAAUGGACAAAAGAUACGAACAGGUGGUUAAAAUUAAAAAACAAUUUGAAAAGGAAAUGGUCCGUAACUAUCUGGAAAGCGACUCCAUCUUGCUUACAGUAAGAAGAAAAGGAAUUUUAAAAGUAUUUAAAACUGUUACUACUCACUGAUGGUAGUUACUACACUCCUGGCUAGCUCAGCAUGAUGUGUAAACUUGUCAAAUCGCUACUUUGUACACCUGAAACUAAUGUAACAUUGUUAAUUACACAACAACAACAACAAAUUCUGCUCACCAAAUGUUUGCUAAUACCCUCUCUUGGUGAAGCUGUGGAAAAACAGUUGCUGUCAUAAUUGUUGGGGGUGCAAAAUGGUGCACUCUCUAGAGAGAAUAAUCUGGAAUUAACUAAUAAAAGCUACAUUCGAUUCA